GCAGAGGACACUGAGAUCCACAGAGAGAAGGAUGUCACACAGCUCAUUGGAGGCCGGGACACCCAUGUUCCGUGAUCCCAAUGCCAGGUUUCCUUUCUUAAUUAUUCCCACUGGCCCCCUGAGUUGGAGAGGAGGCUGGCAGGCGGGCCCCUUCAUCUCUCUUCCAGCCUUGGGGUGUGGCAGAGCACAUGUAUGGGACCCCCACCCAGCGUCAGGCACUAAAGAGGAGUCUGUGGCAGCUGAUGUCACCAACCUCAUAGCUCUGAGGUGCAAGAAGAGUUUUGGAAGAAGAGCUUGCUGGACCAGAAGCCGAAGUGAGGAUGUAGGCCAGACCAGAUGCAGGAGAGGAUGACCUUUGCCUGGACAACACUGCAAGCUGGAUCCAGAAAAUGCAACUGCAGCAGGAAGAGAAGGGCCUGGCAGAGGACUGGGGCUCUGGGUAGCUUGAGAAGCUUGUCUUGAAAGAUGGGAAGAUAUGGCUACUUUGCCCCUGUGAAAGAUGACACGACUGGAGCCAGAGCAGCCAUUUCAGAGGAAUCGCCUUGCACAUCUUGUCUUCUGUAUCUGCCAAACUGGAUCAAACCACCAACAUUCCAAGAAGUCAGUGAGGACAAGAAUUUCCUGUUUGUAAGGACUGAUGAAAUGGGGCUCUGCUGAUGACCUAACCCCUAGCAGUCAAUGAAGUGCAAGUCUAACCCUUUGCCUGAUGACCGAAUCUCAAGCCAGUCUACGAAGGACAAACCCAGCCUUAGCUUGUGCAGCACCAAUGAACC
This 773-nucleotide long non-coding RNA is filed under the name Equus caballus (horse). RNAcentral's name for it is "lncRNA (ENSECAG00000044668.1)". The record is from RNAcentral. Lineage: Eukaryota; Metazoa; Chordata; Mammalia; Perissodactyla; Equidae.